UCCUCGUUAGUAUAGUGGACAGUAUCUCCGCCUGUCACGCGGAAUACCGGGGAUUCGAUUCCCCGACGGGGAG
Molecule: non-coding RNA, 73 nt
Organism: Danio rerio (zebrafish)
Lineage: Eukaryota; Metazoa; Chordata; Actinopteri; Cypriniformes; Danionidae
Source: Rfam